Molecule: transfer RNA, 69 nt
Filed under: Rattus norvegicus (Norway rat)
Lineage: Eukaryota; Metazoa; Chordata; Mammalia; Rodentia; Muridae
Rfam family: tRNA
About the family: Transfer RNA (tRNA) molecules are approximately 80 nucleotides in length. Their secondary structure includes four short double-helical elements and three loops (D, anti-codon, and T loops).
Source: Rfam by way of RNAcentral
GGGGAUUUAGCUCAGUGGUAGAGCGCUUGCCUAGCAAUUGAAAGGCCCUGGGUUCGGUCCCCAGCUCCA